This 1361-nucleotide long non-coding RNA is filed under the name Marmota monax (woodchuck). Lineage: Eukaryota; Metazoa; Chordata; Mammalia; Rodentia; Sciuridae. The record is from RNAcentral.
GUUUAAUUGCUGAGGCUGACUUUGAAUUUGGAAUCCUCCCACUUCAGCCUCCUGAGCCAUUGUAUUACAGGCAUGUGCCACACACCUGGGUUGAUUGUUUUCUUUAAUACAGUUUGGACCAAUAUAAAUUAGAGAGUGAGGAAACAUGGCCUACACAUGGGACUGUACAUUUUAAUUUAACAUUUCAGUUUGACUUGUUCUGUAAACAGGAAGGAAAAUGGACAGAUCUGACUAUCUACCUGGUUCUUUUCCCUGAUAUUUUUCUUUUUUAAAAAAAUGGUUAUUCUAGUUGGGCAUGCUGGCCCAUACUUGUAAUCUCAGCAGCUUGGGACGCGGAGAUAGGAGGAUCUGAGAUAGAAGUUCAAAGCCAGCCUCAACAACAGCAAGGCGCUAGGCAACUGAGUGGGACCCUGUCUCUAAAUAAAAUACAAAAUAGGGCUGGGGAUGUGGCUCAGUGGCCUAGUGCCCCUGAGUUCAGUCCCUGGUACCACCUCCCCCCAAAAAACAAAGUUAUCGUAGUCAGGCAUAAUGGCGCAUGCCUGUAAUCCCAGCAGUUUGGGUACUGAUGCAGGAGGAUCACAAGAUCAAAGCCAACCUCAGCAAUUUAGUGAGGCCCUAAACAACUUAGCUUGUCCCUGACUCAAAACAAAAAAUAAAAAGGCCUGGGAAUGUAGCUCAGUGAUAAAGCACUCCUGGGUUCAAUCCCCAGUACCAAACAAGCAAUUAAUUAUUCAAGGGUUAUUAUUUUAAGCAGUUAUUUAAUGGCUAACUAAUUCCCAAAUGAAAAAAAAAAAAAAAAAAAAAAAAACAGGGAUCUUCCCCUUUAGAAAGCCCUAAAGAGGAGGGUAAACAGGGGGAUGUUGACUUGGAUCUGCCUCGGGGCUAAUAAACAAGUAGUCACCUGAACCACUGCUUCAUAGACUCUGCCCGACCAUCCCCAGCUAGAUGGGCCUCCUCCAUAUCUGUGUCCCCUGUGGUGUAAUCUGUUGCUCAGUGUGUCAUUUGAUAACCUUCUGUGUCAGAGUAUGUUUUGAUUUUUGGUAUUCUAAAUCUGGUGCAUGCUCCUACCUAUGAAGACCUAAAAUCUAGUAAAUGAUAAUUAUAAAAUAUUUGUUUUCUGCCUUUUAAUGCAUGUUUGUAUACCUGUAUAUAUUGUAUGUCUACUUGUGUGCUUGUGUAUAUAUCUGUAUUCAUGGUACCAAAUUGAUUUAGAGAUAAAGGAGGGAUGAUCAUUUUAAAAAACUGAAUCUAAAAAUGUCUCUUAGUGGGCUGGGGAUGUGGCUCAAGCAGUAGCACGCUCGCCUGGCAUGCGCAGGGCACUGGGUUCGAUCCUCAGCACCACAUAAAAAUAAAGAUGUGUC